Molecule: ribosomal RNA, 329 nt
Filed under: uncultured eukaryote
Lineage: Eukaryota
Description: partial 18S ribosomal RNA
Rfam family: Eukaryotic small subunit ribosomal RNA
Source: RNAcentral
CCCUUAGAUGUUCUGGGCCGCACGCGCGCUACACUGACGGAGGCAGCGAGCGUGUCCUUCGCCGGCAGGUUCGGGCAAUCUUGCGAGUCUCCGUCGUGCUGGGGAUAGAUGGUUGCAAUUGUCGAUCUUGAACGAGGAAUUCCUAGUAAGCGCGAGUCAUCAGCUCGCGCUGAUUACGUCCCUGCCCUUUGUACACACCGCCCGUCGCUACUACAGAGUGCCCGUGUCCAAGAAACGGUCGGACCUGUGCGGCCUCUCCGGGCGACCGGAGGGCCGUUACGGGGAAGACCCUUUAUUUGACGCGGGUCGAUGAAGUAAAAGUCGUAACA